Molecule: ribosomal RNA, 115 nt
Filed under: Enterobacter cloacae
Lineage: Bacteria; Pseudomonadati; Pseudomonadota; Gammaproteobacteria; Enterobacterales; Enterobacteriaceae
Source: RNAcentral
CUGUCGGCCUUUGUGCGUUGUGCCAACCUGACCCCAUGCCGAACUCAGAAGUGAAACGCCGUAGCGCCGAUGGUAGUGUGGGGUCUCCCCAUGUGAGAGUAGGGAACUGCCAGGC